CGAUUCCCUUAGUAGCGGCGAGCGAAACGGGAAGAGCCCAAACCAACAAGCUUGCUUGUUGGGGUUGUAGGACACUCUAUACGGAGUUACAAAGGACGACAUUAGACGAAUCAUCUGGAAAGAUGAAUCAAAGAAGGUAAUAAUCCUGUAGUCGAAAAUGUUGUCUCUCUUGAGUGGAUCCUGAGUACGACGGAGCACGUGAAAUUCCGUCGGAAUCUGGGAGGACCAUCUCCUAAGGCUAAAUACUCUCUAGUGACCGAUAGUGAACCAGUACCGUGAGGGAAAGGUGAAAAGCACCCCGGAAGGGGAGUGAAAUAGAACCUGAAACCGUGUGCUUACAAGUAGUCAGAGCCCGUUAAUGGGUGAUGGCGUGCCUUUUGUAGAAUGAACCGGCGAGUUACGAUUUGAUGCAAGGUUAAGCAGUAAAUGUGGAGCCGUAGCGAAAGCGAGUCUGAAUAGGGCGUUUAGUAUUUGGUCGUAGACCCGAAACCAGGUGAUCUACCCUUGGUCAGGUUGAAGUUCAGGUAACACUGAAUGGAGGACCGAACCGACUUACGUUGAAAAGUGAGCGGAUGAACUGAGGGUAGCGGAGAAAUUCCAAUCGAACCUGGAGAUAGCUGGUUCUCUCCGAAAUAGCUUUAGGGCUAGCCUCAAGUGAUGAUUAUUGGAGGUAGAGCACUGUUUGGACGAGGGGCCCCUCUCGGGUUACCGAAUUCAGACAAACUCCGAAUGCCAAUUAAUUUAACUUGGGAGUCAGAACAUGGGUGAUAAGGUCCGUGUUCGAAAGGGAAACAGCCCAGACCACCAGCUAAGGUCCCAAAAUAUAUGUUAAGUGGAAAAGGAUGUGGCGUUGCCCAGACAACUAGGAUGUUGGCUUAGAAGCAGCCAUCAUUUAAAGAGUGCGUAAUAGCUCACUAGUCGAGUGACACUGCGCCGAAAAUGUACCGGGGCUAAACAUAUUACCGAAGCUGUGGAUUGUCCUUUGGACAAUGGUAGGAGAGCGUUCUAAGGGCGUUGAAGCAUGAUCGUAAGGACAUGUGGAGCGCUUAGAAGUGAGAAUGCCGGUGUGAGUAGCGAAAGACGGGUGAGAAUCCCGUCCACCGAUUGACUAAGGUUUCCAGAGGAAGGCUCGUCCGCUCUGGGUUAGUCGGGUCCUAAGCUGAGGCCGACAGGCGUAGGCGAUGGAUAACAGGUUGAUAUUCCUGUACCACCUAUAAUCGUUUUAAUCGAUGGGGGGACGCAGUAGGAUAGGCGAAGCGUGCGAUUGGAUUGCACGUCUAAGCAGUAAGGCUGAGUAUUAGGCAAAUCCGGUACUCGUUAAGGCUGAGCUGUGAUGGGGAGAAGACAUUGUGUCUUCGAGUCGUUGAUUUCACACUGCCGAGAAAAGCCUCUAGAUAGAAAAUAGGUGCCCGUACCGCAAACCGACACAGGUAGUCAAGAUGAGAAUUCUAAGGUGAGCGAGCGAACUCUCGUUAAGGAACUCGGCAAAAUGACCCCGUAACUUCGGGAGAAGGGGUGCUCUUUAGGGUUAACGCCCAGAAGAGCCGCAGUGAAUAGGCCCAAGCGACUGUUUAUCAAAAACACAGGUCUCUGCUAAACCGUAAGGUGAUGUAUAGGGGCUGACGCCUGCCCGGUGCUGGAAGGUUAAGAGGAGUGGUUAGCUUCUGCGAAGCUACGAAUCGAAGCCCCAGUAAACGGCGGCCGUAACUAUAACGGUCCUAAGGUAGCGAAAUUCCUUGUCGGGUAAGUUCCGACCCGCACGAAAGGCGUAACGAUUUGGGCACUGUCUCAACGAGAGACUCGGUGAAAUCAUAGUACCUGUGAAGAUGCAGGUUACCCGCGACAGGACGGAAAGACCCCGUGGAGCUUUACUGUAGCCUGAUAUUGAAAUUCGGCACAGCUUGUACAGGAUAGGUAGGAGCCUUUGAAACGUGAGCGCUAGCUUACGUGGAGGCGCUGGUGGGAUACUACCCUAGCUGUGUUGGCUUUCUAACCCGCACCACUUAUCGUGGUGGGAGACAGUGUCAGGCGGGCAGUUUGACUGGGGCGGUCGCCUCCUAAAAGGUAACGGAGGCGCUCAAAGGUUCCCUCAGAAUGGUUGGAAAUCAUUCAUAGAGUGUAAAGGCAUAAGGGAGCUUGACUGCGAGACCUACAAGUCGAGCAGGGUCGAAAGACGGACUUAGUGAUCCGGUGGUUCCGCAUGGAAGGGCCAUCGCUCAACGGAUAAAAGCUACCCCGGGGAUAACAGGCUUAUCUCCCCCAAGAGUUCACAUCGACGGGGAGGUUUGGCACCUCGAUGUCGGCUCAUCGCAUCCUGGGGCUGUAGUCGGUCCCAAGGGUUGGGCUGUUCGCCCAUUAAAGCGGUACGCGAGCUGGGUUCAGAACGUCGUGAGACAGUUCGGUCCCUAUCCGUCGUGGGCGUAGGAAAUUUGAGAGGAGCUGUCCUUAGUACGAGAGGACCGGGAUGGACAUACCUCUGGUGUACCAGUUGUCGUGCCAACGGCAUAGCUGGGUAGCUAUGUGUGGACGGGAUAAGUGCUGAAAGCAUCUAAGCAUGAAGCCCCCCUCAAGAUGAGAUUUCCCAACUUCGGUUAUAAGAUCCCUCAAAGAUGAUGAG
RNAcentral lists this ribosomal RNA (2617 nucleotides) under Staphylococcus aureus. Its description in RNAcentral is "partial 23S ribosomal RNA". It matches the Rfam family "Bacterial large subunit ribosomal RNA", at positions 232 to 2851 of the family's 2925-position model. Lineage: Bacteria; Bacillati; Bacillota; Bacilli; Caryophanales; Staphylococcaceae. The record is from RNAcentral.